ACCGCGGUAGCCCAGUUGGUUAGGGCGUCGGCAGUACUGAUGCCGCGAAGGUCGCAGGUUCAAAUCCUGCCUGCGGUG
Non-coding RNA from Phthorimaea operculella (potato tuberworm), 78 nucleotides. Lineage: Eukaryota; Metazoa; Arthropoda; Insecta; Lepidoptera; Gelechiidae. The record is from the annotation of a GenBank genome assembly.